AUGUCUCAUAUCCCCAUGUCCCCACAUCCCCAUGUCUCAUAUCUCCAUGUCUCAGGUCCCUGUGUCCUCACGUCCCCGUGUCCCCACAUCCCCAUGUCCCCACAUCCCCAUGUCUCCACAUCCCCAUGUCCUUACAUCCCCAUAUCCCCACAUCCCCAUGUCCCCACAUCCCCAUGUCUCAGGUCCCCAUCUCCUCACAUCCCCAUGUCCCCACGUCCCUGUGUCCCCACAUCCCCGUGUCUCAGGUCCCCAUGUCCUCACAUCCCCAUGUCUCAUAUCCCCAUGUCUCAGGUCCCCAUGUCCCCACGUCCCCAUGUCCCCACAUCCCCAUGUCCCCACAUCCCCACAUCCCCACGUCCCCACGUCCCCAUGUCCCCUAGCCAGCUGGGCGCAGGGCCCGGGGGAGGGGACAAGAGCCGCAAUCCUUCAGGAUGCUCGACAUUAUCAAGUGCUAAUGAGACCUGUAUGGGGCUGAGGUGCUUUGCAGGCCAUUACCCCAAAUUAACCUGACAAAGGAGCCCGGGCGGGUGUCUGAAGCGGGGCUGGGUUGUGUAUUGGCCGUCUGGGGCUGGGGGCAGAGGGGCUGCUGCCCUCUGCCUUUCCCAAGACACCGUCUCCCCUUGGCAGCACCCCGCUUUGCUCGCAGCCCCUUGCAGAAAGCGAAGCCCCUAGGAAGCAUCUCCCGUUGCGCUGAUGGACCAAACCAACCGCCCCAGAGCAGGAGAAAGGAGAAGGAUGGGGGGCAGCGGGACAUUGCUCUUGCCAUCAGCCACCUCCGCUGCAGGCCGGUGUUUGGCCCGUCUUUCUCAGAGGCGAGACACGUUCCCCCACCCUCGUGUCCGUGCCCACGUGCCCGUGCAGAGCGCCGUCACCCUUCCAGUGGCCCCGUGGCCGAUCAACCCAGGCAAAAAUAACCACUGAGGUCUCGGGAGAAGCGUUCCCCAGGUGCCUGGCUCUUGCAGGCUGAUCUACGGCUGAGGCACCGGGACGUCCCAGCACACCUAGAGGAGAAACCACGACGAAGGAGGACGGUUGGCCUUGGGAGCUGGUCUUCUCCAGGCUCUGUGACCAAUGAGCUAACAUACAUCAGUUAUCCCCCGUGCUCCUUUUUUUGCAGUAAAGACGAAGCCCUGGUUUCCCAGGACGUUCCCACCUGUGCUGUCGCAGGAGAAAUGGCCGGGAAAACGUGACAUGAGGGUAGACGUCAAAGCCUGAUGGGUGCUGAGCGCCCAUUUUUUAGGCCAAUCUUGGUUUCUGAGCUCAUGAUUUCAAGCUCCUUCGGUCGCCGGUGCAGGACUCGUUACCCUAAUGAGCGCCAGCACACGCCUGUCUAAUCGGCGGCAGGAGCCCCCGGGACCCCUCUUUUCCCUGACAGGGUCCGGCCGAACGGACGCUGCCGGUCAAGGAGCUUUUUGGCCCGGAUCACCAAUGCGCGAAGCCCCCCGUCGCGUUUUCGCGUGUGCUUGCUGCGGGUUUUUGGAAAUUUCCACCGCGUCCCUCGCCCAGCCGGGGAGAUUUGCGGCUUGAGUGGGCCGGGGGGUCUCGCUUCCCCCCCCCAACGGACCGAGGCGAGGUGCGAAAUUUCUCAUGGGCAAACAAGGGAGAGCUGCAGGGUGCCCAGGAGCAGGGGGACGGCGAGGAGGAGGAGGAGGAGGAGGAUGGUGGUGGGGGGCAAGCGAAGGAGGAGAGAAAGCGGCAGCCAGAAAGGGACAAAAAUCCCGAAGUUUGAAGAGUGGGGCGUUUUCUAUGGGGGGAUUGUAAAAUGCGCUCUCUCUUUCCCCUUUCCAGGGGGGGAUAAGGGGGCCCCCCCCCUCUAUCUGAUAGUCAUUAGCAUCAAUUAGGAGCGUUUGAAGUGGGCAACAUCUUUGUCUCUUUGCAGAAAAGAAAUAAAAAAACCUUUCAGGGAGCCCA
Molecule: long non-coding RNA, 1911 nt
Filed under: Apteryx haastii (Great spotted kiwi)
Lineage: Eukaryota; Metazoa; Chordata; Aves; Apterygiformes; Apterygidae
Description: lncRNA (ENSAHAG00000005379.1)
Source: RNAcentral